RNAcentral lists this ribosomal RNA (1263 nucleotides) under metagenome. RNAcentral's name for it is "bacterial LSU rRNA". It matches the Rfam family "Bacterial large subunit ribosomal RNA", at positions 1462 to 2718 of the family's 2925-position model. The record is from RNAcentral.
CCGGGGUGUGACGCAGGAAGGUAGCCCAACCCGGGCGAUGGUUGUCCCGGGGCAAGUGCGUAGGCCGAGAGAUAGGCAAAUCCGUCUCUCAUGCAGGCUGAGACACGAUGCGGAUAAAAAGUGGGUGAUCCUAUGCUGCCAAGAAAAGCAUCGACGCGAGGUUCUAGCCGCCCGUACCCCAAACCGACUCAGGUGGUCAGGUAGAGAAUACCAAGGAGAUCGAGAGAAUCGUGGUUAAGGAACUCGGCAAAAUGCCCCCGUAACUUCGGGAGAAGGGGGGCCAUCCACUUAUUAGGACUUGCUCCGAAAGGGUGUGGUGGCCGCAGAGACUAGUGGGUAGCGACUGUUUAUUAAAAACACAGGUCCGUGCCAAGUCGCAAGACGAUGUAUACGGACUGACGCCUGCCCGGUGCUGGAAGGUUAAGAGGACCGGUUAGCCGCAAGGCGAAGCUGAGAAUUUAAGCCCCAGUAAACGGCGGUGGUAACUAUAACCAUCCUAAGGUAGCGAAAUUCCUUGUCGGGUAAGUUCCGACCUGCACGAAUGGCGUAACGACUUCCCAACUGUCUCAACCGCGAACUCGGCGAAAUUGCACUACGAGUAAAGAUGCUCGUUACGCGCAGCAGGACGGAAAGACCCCGUGACCUUUACUACAGCUUGGUAUUGGUGUUCGGUGUGGCUUGUGUAGGAUAGGUGGGAGACUGUGAAGCGGUGACGCCAGUUACCGUGGAGUCAUUGUUGAAAUACCACUCUGGUCACUCUGGAUAUCUAACUUCGAACCGUAAUCCGGUUCAGGGACAGUGCCUGGUGGGUAGUUUAACUGGGGCGGUUGCCUCCCAAAAAGUAACGGAGGCGCCCAAAGGUUCCCUCAACCUGGUUGGCAAUCAGGUGGCGAGUGUAAGUGCACAAGGGAGCUUGACUGUGAGACUGACAGGUCGAGCAGGGACGAAAGUCGGGACUAGUGAUCCGGCAGUGGCUUGUGGAAGCGCUGUCGCUCAACGGAUAAAAGGUACCUCGGGGAUAACAGGCUGAUCUUGCCCAAGAGUCCAUAUCGACGGCAUGGUUUGGCACCUCGAUGUCGGCUCGUCGCAUCCUGGGGCUGGAGUAGGUCCCAAGGGUUGGGCUGUUCGCCCAUUGAAGCGGUACGCGAGCUGGGUUUAGAACGUCGUGAGACAGUUCGGUCCCUAUCCGCUGCGCGCGUAGGAAAUUUGAGAGGAUCUGACCCUACUACGAGAGGACCGGGUUGGACGAACCUCUGGUUUGCC